This is a long non-coding RNA of Loxodonta africana (African savanna elephant), 1400 nucleotides long. RefSeq lists it as uncharacterized. The record is from RefSeq and is a predicted model, not a curated record. The transcript has 2 exons. Lineage: Eukaryota; Metazoa; Chordata; Mammalia; Proboscidea; Elephantidae.
UAAUCUGCCUGUCCUUAUCAGGACUCAUCAAUUCCACUUCUAAAAUGAGGUUUCCUGCUCAGCUCCUGGGCUUUUAAUGCUCUGGAUUCCGGGUGAGAACAGAGCGGGAAUAGGAAAGGAGAAAGAGCGUCCAGGAGGGAUGUUGCGAUGACUGAGACACCACUCACUCUUCCUGUCACUCUCGGAGAGCCAGCCACCAUCUCCUGCACUUCAAGGCAGAGACUUCUACAUAGUAAUGGAUAAAACUAUUCGCACUGAUACCGGCAGAAGCCAGGCCAAACUCCAUGGCUUCUGAUCUCUAUGGAUUCUAAUUGGUUCUCUGGGGUCCCAGACAGGUUUGGUGGCAGAGGGUCAGGGACAGAUUUCACUCUUAAAAUCAGCUGGGUGAAGGCUGAGGAUGUUGCAGUUUAUGACUGUCGGCACAGUAUAGAAAACCCUCCAGUGGUACAGCUCUGCAUACAAACCUCUCUGCUUGGGGUGGCCCAGUUGAACAAAUGAGUGGCCUGUGUGGGGAGUAGAACCAGCAGGCUCUCUGAGUCUGCUAAGAGGAAGAAGCUGGAGACCUUAGGGGAAUGUGUUGUAUCUGAGGACUCUGGACCAUGAGUUCCUCUGCUACACUGCCCAUUUGUGACCCAUCAGCUGGACUAGUCUUAACAUGGCAGAGGCAGCAGGGAUGAUGGCAGAGGUCCAUGAGUCUCUGGAGAGCUGACUGAGAGCUCAUCCUAAUCCCCCUGCCUGUGUCCAUUUGUCAGUGAAAUUUAGUCAGCAUGACAGGUAGACAAUUGACACAGACUGUGGCAAUGCAAGUUGAGUACAUGUGGGGGUUUAGCAGGCUUCUUUGUAUGUUUCAUCAGCAUAAUACUUGGUGAUAUUUAGAAAUUAGUAUUGUCCCACUUUCCCAAUCCCCUGCUUCUCACUUUACUGCUUACACUUCCCCUUGAAUUCAGAUAGUUGAAAUAACAUUCUAUAUUAGCUGCCCUCAGAGGGAAUGUGGCUGAGAAGAAUUUGUGAAGAUGUUGGUUUCUGAGCCUCCAAAUAGCAUUUAUAAAUUUAUCCAAGACACAAGAUCCUAAUUCCACCGGUCUUUGAAUUUCCCCAAUUACUUCUUGGUGAGAAAAAUAAGGAGUUCUUGGAAUUUUAACAGUUGGGUUUAAAAAACAAAACAAACUGAAAGAUGUAAGACAUAGAAUUUUCUAAGUCAGCUACCAGAAGGAUACAGAAUGACAUAAAUAUUUUCUUUCCAAAGGUAAGAAUUUUAAUACCGUAGGCGGACUGCAGAAAAUGGAAUCGUGGAGGGCACAUAACAGAGGUCAGCUCUUGGUCUGUGGAUUCUUUCCCAGUUGUGUUUCUCUGUCUGGGCAAGGUCAGUAUUCGGUCCACACAUAUUUUUUGGCAAAUAC